AGUGAAUAGAUACCCAGGUAGUCCUAGCCGUAAACGAUACUCGCUAGGCGUCGGCCACGGUGCGACCGUUGUCGGUGCCGUAGGGAAAGCCGUGAAGCGAGCCACCUGGGAAGUACGGCCGCAAGGCUGAAACUUAAAGGAAUUGGCGGGGGAGCACCACAACGGGUGGAGCUUGCGGUUUAAAUUGGAUUCAACGCCGGAAAUCUUACCGGGACCGACAGCAACAUGAAGGCCAGGCUGAAGACUUUACCGGAUUAGCUGAGAGGUGGUGCAUGGCCGUCGUCAGUUCGUACUGUGAAAGCAUCCUGUUAAGUCAGGCAACGAGCGAGACCCACGCCACAGUUGCCAGCGUACUCUCCGGAGUGACGGGUACACUGUGGGGGUCCGCCGCUGCUAAAGCGGAGGAAGGAAUGGGCAACGGUAGGUCAGUAUGCCCCGAAUAUCCCGGGCUACACGCGAGCUACAAUGGUUGGUACAAUGGGUAUCUACCCCG
RNAcentral lists this ribosomal RNA (493 nucleotides) under uncultured bacterium. Its description in RNAcentral is "bacterial SSU rRNA". It matches the Rfam family "Archaeal small subunit ribosomal RNA", at positions 723 to 1213 of the family's 1478-position model. The record is from RNAcentral.